Molecule: ribosomal RNA, 1445 nt
Filed under: uncultured marine cyanobacterium
Lineage: Bacteria; Bacillati; Cyanobacteriota
Description: bacterial SSU rRNA
Rfam family: Bacterial small subunit ribosomal RNA
Source: RNAcentral
GAGUUUGAUCAUGGCUCAGGAUGAACGCUGGCGGCGUGCUUAACACAUGCAAGUCGAACGAACCUUCGGGUUAGUGGCGGACGGGUGAGUAACGCGUGGGAAUCUGCCCUCAGGAGGGGGAUAACGGUUGGAAACGACCGCUAAUACCCCAUAUGCCGAGAGGUGAAAUGAAUUUCGCCUGAGGAUGAGCCCGCGUCUGAUUAGCUUGUUGGUGAGGUAAUGGCUCACCAAGGCAUCGAUCAGUAGCUGGUCUGAGAGGAUGAUCAGCCACACUGGGACUGAGACACGGCCCAGACUCCUACGGGAGGCAGCAGUGGGGAAUUUUCCGCAAUGGGCGAAAGCCUGACGGAGCAACGCCGCGUGAGGGACGAAGGCCUCUGGGCUGUAAACCUCUUUUCUCAAGGAAGAAGAUAUGACGGUACUUGAGGAAUAAGCCACGGCUAAUUCCGUGCCAGCAGCCGCGGUAAUACGGGAGUGGCAAGCGUUAUCCGGAAUUAUUGGGCGUAAAGCGUCCGCAGGCGGCUUUUCAAGUCUGCUGUUAAAACGUGGAGCUUAACUCCAUCAUGGCAGUGGAAACUGAUUGGCUUGAGUAUGGUAGGGGCAGAGGGAAUUCCCGGUGUAGCGGUGAAAUGCGUAGAUAUCGGGAAGAACACCAGUGGCGAUGGCGCUCUGCUGGGUCAUUACUGACGCUCAUGGACGAAAGCCAGGGGAGCGAAAGGGAUUAGAUACCCCUGUAGUCCUGGCCGUAAACGAUGAACACUAGGUGUCGGGGGAAUCGACCCCUUCGGUGUCGUAGCUAACGCGUUAAGUGUUCCGCCUGGGGAGUGCGCACGCAAGUGUGAAACUCAAAGGAAUUGACGGGGGCCCGCACAAGCGGUGGAGUAUGUGGUUUAAUUCGAUGCAACGCGAAGAACCUUACCAGGGCUUGACAUCCUGCGAACCUUUAAGAAAUUAGAGGGUGCCUUCGGGAACGCAGUGGCAGGUGGUGCAUGGCUGUCGUCAGCUCGUGUCGUGAGAUGUUGGGUUAAGUCCCUCAACGAGCGCAACCCACGUUUUUAGUUGCCAGCAUUUAGUUGGGCACUCUAGAAAGACCGCCGGUGAUAAACCGGAGGAAGGUGUGGAUGACGUCAAGUCAUCAUGCCCCUUACGUCCUGGGCUACACACGUACUACAAUGCUACGGACAAAGGGCAGCAAACUCGCGAGAGCUAGCAAAUCCCAUAAACCGUGGCUCAGUUCAGAUCGUAGGCUGCAACUCGCCUACGUGAAGUAGGAAUCGCUAGUAAUCGCAGGUCAGCAUACUGCGGUGAAUACGUUCCCGGGCCUUGUACACACCGCCCGUCACACCAUGGAAGUUGGCCAUGCCCGAAGUCGUUACUUUAACCCUCGUGGAGAAGGACGCCGAAGGUGGGGCUGAUGACUGGGGUGAAGUCGUAACAAGGUAACC